AUGAAGACAACAAAAUGACAAGCAACGAAAGAGAAUACAUACAUCAUAAAGUUUCAGAAAGAUUACAGAUAAUCCACAUUCAAGGUGUAACCCAGACAUACAUUCAUUAACCAGUACUCUUUAACAUCAAGACUAGUCCACAUCAAACUUAUAGAUCCUUACAAAAGCAGUUUCCAUAGCUGAGGACGAAACCCACUUAUCUAUAACCACGAGGGUAGUUCCUUUCAUAAGGAGAAUAUGACCGGGAUCGCGCACGUCUCGACCUUCCAGCAUAAGGUGAGCGUCUAGGAGAAUAAUCUCGCCCACCUCUAUAUGGAGAGUGUCUGGGAGAAUAAUCUCGCCCACCUCUAUAUGGAGAGUGUCUGGGAGAAUAAUCUCGCCCACCUCUAUAUGGAGAGUGUCUG
RNAcentral lists this unclassified non-coding RNA (404 nucleotides) under Hevea brasiliensis (rubber tree). The record is from RNAcentral. Lineage: Eukaryota; Viridiplantae; Streptophyta; Magnoliopsida; Malpighiales; Euphorbiaceae.